RNAcentral lists this unclassified non-coding RNA (246 nucleotides) under uncultured Pleosporales. RNAcentral describes it as "sequence contains 5.8S rRNA gene, ITS2, 28S rRNA gene". The record is from RNAcentral. Lineage: Eukaryota; Fungi; Ascomycota; Dothideomycetes; Pleosporales.
AACGCACAUUGCGCCCCUUGGUAUUCCAUGGGGCAUGCCUGUUCGAGCGUCAUCUACACCCUCAAGCUCUGCUUGGUGUUGGGCGUCUGUCCCGCCUCUGCGCGCGGACUCGCCUCAAAAUCAUUGGCAGCGGUCCUUGCCUCCUCUCGCGCAGCACAUUGCGUUUCUUGAGGGGCGUGGGUCGCAUCCACAAAGCAUUUUACCGUCUUUGACCUCGGAUCAGGUAGGGAUACCCGCUGAACUUAA